This is a non-coding RNA of Peromyscus maniculatus bairdii (prairie deer mouse), 2409 nucleotides long. Lineage: Eukaryota; Metazoa; Chordata; Mammalia; Rodentia; Cricetidae. The record is from RefSeq and is a predicted model, not a curated record.
UGAACAUGAAGCGCGCUGUCUUUACAAGGUUGCUGACCAGGUGACUGAAACCAAGCUCCCUCAGCAGUGAACAAGAUUCUGACAUGUGCCCCAGGCUAGCUCUAACGUCACCCGACACAGAGCCUGAUGUUUCUUAACCGCGUCCGCAUGCUUGUUUGUGACUCCAUCAUGCAGCUGUUUGAGCUCAGCCUGUGUAGCUGACAGCAGCACAUGGUGAUGUGAUGAGUUGGGAGCACCCCUGAUAGGGGCUGUCCGCGUAUUUCUUCACCCUGUGGAGAAAAAAACAUUGUCAAGAGACGGUAGCAAAGAGCGAUGAGUCAUGAAUCGGUUACUGUGUAACAAGGGCCAGGAGAGGAAAACCUCACACUGGGGAGCUGCAGACUGAGGAUGGGCAGGACCCGGCUAACAGGACUGGUGUUCCCAGCUCCAUGCUUAGCCUGCGGCUGUAGCUGGCACAGGACACCGUCCUCUCCUGUCCAUUUCCUGAAAUUCUUCUGUCACUGGGAGCAGGAAGCGAACUCUUGAGGUAACUCUAGUCUAUGUCGAGUUGCCAAUAAAAAACUAGCAAGGAUGAAGAAGACUCAUCAAAGUGCCUCAUCAGGAGCUAUAUAUGUGAUGCCGGAGCUUGAAGCUGCUUAAUCCAUGGGCAACUCUAGGCAUCAAGGAAAGUAUGUACUGGUAGACUUAUUUUUCUUGGCCAUAGAGUUCAGUCCUUGAAGGGUAGAUCUUUCUCUUUUAGAUUUCCUUUAUCAUCAUCAUCAUCAUCAUCAUCAUCAUCAUCAUCAUAUUGUGUGUAUAUGUGCAUGCACAUGAUAUGUGGUGGCCAAAAUGCAUGCCAUGGCACAUGUGUAGAGGUCAGAGGACAACCUUAUGGAACUGGAGCUCUCCUUCUAUCUUGAUGCGGCUUCUGGAGAUCAGAUUCAGGGUGACAGGCUUGUGCAGCCUGAGGCAUCUUGCUGGUCCAUGACAACUUUAAUUUUUUUCAUUGCUAAUCCUGUUUGUGAUGUUUCUUAGAGCAGUUCCACUACAAGUGCUCUGGUUAAUUGUGCUGAAAUUCCUGGGUGGUGGGAAGCUGAGAAGACAGAAAUCAGAAGAGGGGGUGGCACUGAAGAGUGGAGUUUCCAUUCUCAGCUCCGCUUCCCAACGGGCCCUGUCUGUUCUUCCGGCUCCUGUUCCGGGUGACAUGGAGUAACACCCGCUAUCUUGUCAGACCCCGCGCAGCAAGGUGGGAAGGGUGAGGACUCAGAGGGCAGCAGGAAUAUCAGGAAAGAAGACUGUAAAUAGUUCACCAGCUCUCUUGUUUUUCCUAUGUGCGUGUUUAUGAUGUGUAUGAGACAGAGUGUGUGUGUGUGUGUGUGUGUGUGUGUGCGUGUGCGCUGUCCCCACAGUGUGUGUGUGUGUGUAUGUGUGUGUGUGUAUGUGUAUGAGCGCGCUGUCCCCACAGUGUGUGUGUGUGUGUGUGUGUGUGUGUGUGUGUGUGUGUGUGUGCGCACGCAGGUCAGAUGACGACUUGUCUCAGUCUUCACUCUCCAUCUCGUGUGAGACCCUUGUUCUUCUCCACUGGGCACACCAGGCUAGCUGGGUGGCAAGUCGGAGAGUUCUCCUGUGUCUGCUUGCCAUCUUGACCUAGCGACACUGAGACUACAGAGGCGUGCCCUACUGUGUCCGGCUUUCCAUGCAGGCUGGGCACCCGAAAAAGCGCCCUUGUACAAAGCCAUCUCCCAGUCCUGACUUUGCCAUUUUUGUUUCGUGGGAUUUUCCUGCUUGGGCUCAAGGCACCAAGAUUCAGUCAUUUUUGUCAUCGCUGUGACAAGUGCCUGGCAGAAAUGACUUCAGGGAGGGGAGGCUUUCAGGCUGUGCUGAGUGCUCCAGUGCAGUGAUGGAGCUGUGGAGGCAGGAGCAUGCGCUAUGGUGACCACCUGGAAAGGCAUCUCUGGCCAGAACCAAAGGCCUGCCCUCGUCACUAACAGGUUCUUUUUGGUUACCAUGCUAAAAAACACUGUGGCUAAAGGCAACCUCAGAGGAAAAGUUUCAUCUGAGGGAAGUUGGGGCAGGAACUCAAGGCAGGAACCCAGAGGUAGGAACCACAGUCCAGGCCUCUCUUCCUGAAGGCUCCUGUGGUAAUUUGAAUGAGAAAUGUCCCCCAUAGUUGGUCCUCAGUUAGAGGUGCUAUUUGGAGAGGUUCAGGUGGUACAGUCCUCCUGGAGAAAGGGGUGGGUCUUGGGAGUAAAAAGCUUCGCCUACUGCAAGUUUCCUCUCGGCUUCAUGCUUAUUGUAAAGGAUGUGAGCUCUUAAUUUUCAGCCUCCUGCUCCAGCUGCUGGCUGUGGUACGGUCCCUGCCUUUGUGGAUUCCAAUGCUCUGGAACUGUAGGCCCAAAUAAACUUUUUUUCCCCAUAAGUUGCUUUGGU